AGUAAUGUCUGGGAAACUGCCUGAUGGAGGGGGAUAACUACUGGAAACGGUAGCUAAUACCGCAUAAUGUCGCAAGACCAAAGUGGGGGACCUUCGGGCCUCAUGCCAUCGGAUGUGCCCAGAUGGGAUUAGCUAGUAGGUGGGGUAACGGCUCACCUAGGCGACGAUCCCUGGCUGGUCUGAGAGGAUGACCAGCCACACUGGAACUGAGACACGGUCCAG
RNAcentral lists this ribosomal RNA (222 nucleotides) under uncultured bacterium. RNAcentral describes it as "partial 16S ribosomal RNA". It matches the Rfam family "Bacterial small subunit ribosomal RNA", at positions 109 to 334 of the family's 1533-position model. The record is from RNAcentral.